RNAcentral lists this long non-coding RNA (322 nucleotides) under Salmo salar (Atlantic salmon). RNAcentral's name for it is "lncRNA (ENSSSAG00000113616.1)". The record is from RNAcentral. Lineage: Eukaryota; Metazoa; Chordata; Actinopteri; Salmoniformes; Salmonidae.
GACUGAGCCCCAGUGAGACUGAGCCCCAGUGUGACUGAGCCCCAGUGUGACUAAGCCCCAGUGUGACUGAGCCCCAGUGUGACUGAGCCCCAGUGUGACUGAGCCCCAGUGUGACUGAGCCCCAGUGUUACUGAGCCCCAGUGUGACUAAGCCCCAGUGUGACUGAGCCCCAGCUGAGGGAAGAAGUGCAACUGCCAACACCAGAGUCCGAAGGGAUACAUUCUAAUAACAAGUAUAUCACAUCUGCACAUUAUACAGAUAAGACAUCUUAAUUAUCUAUGUUACCCAACUAAUUCUGAUUCAUCCGCCACAGACACUUGAU